UCCUGGUCCCAGAGCAGUGGUGUUUACUAAUACCUCACAACUGUUAAAGAUUCCUUUGUUCCUUCCCCACUCCCAAUGCUUCACUUGACCAGCCUUAA
Molecule: unclassified non-coding RNA, 98 nt
Organism: Otolemur garnettii (small-eared galago)
Lineage: Eukaryota; Metazoa; Chordata; Mammalia; Primates; Galagidae
Rfam family: Y RNA
About the family: Y RNAs are components of the Ro ribonucleoprotein particle (Ro RNP), in association with Ro60 and La proteins.
Source: Ensembl